Molecule: transfer RNA, 76 nt
Filed under: Olavius algarvensis Delta 1 endosymbiont
Lineage: Bacteria; Deltaproteobacteria
Description: tRNA-Asn-GTT
Rfam family: tRNA
About the family: Transfer RNA (tRNA) molecules are approximately 80 nucleotides in length. Their secondary structure includes four short double-helical elements and three loops (D, anti-codon, and T loops). Further hydrogen bonds mediate the characteristic L-shaped molecular structure. tRNAs have two regions of fundamental functional importance: the anti-codon, which is responsible for specific mRNA codon recognition, and the 3' end, to which the tRNAs corresponding amino acid is attached (by aminoacyl-tRNA synthetases). tRNAs cope with the degeneracy of the genetic code in two manners: having more than one tRNA (with a specific anti-codon) for a particular amino acid; and 'wobble' base-pairing, i.e. permitting non-standard base-pairing at the 3rd anti-codon position.
Source: RNAcentral
UGUGAGGUAUCCAAGUCGGCAUGGAGCCUGACUGUUAAUCAGGAAAUCGCCGGUUCGAAUCCGGCCCUCACAGCCA